AGUGAACGCUGGCGGCGUGCUUAACACAUGCAAGUCGAACGAGAACGGGUUAUAGCUUGCUAUAAUUGUCAGCUAAGUGGCGCACGGGUGAGUAAUGUAUAGGUAAUAUGCCUCUUACUAAGGGAUAACAAAUGGAAACGUUUGCUAAUACCUUAUACUCCUUUUUAAUAGAAGUUAAUAGGGGAAAGAUUUAUUGGUAAGAGUUUGGCCUGUAUUGUAUCAGUUAGUUGGUGGGGUAAUGGCUUACCAAGACUAUGACACAUAACUGGUUUGGGAGGAUGAGCAGUCACAAUGGAACUGAGACACGGUCCCGACUCCUACGGGAGGCAGCAGUGGGGAAUAUUGCACAAUGGACGAAAGUCUGAUGCAGCAACGCCGCGUGAGGAUGACACAUUUCGGUGCGUAAACUCCUUUUAUAUGGGAAGAUAAUGACGGUAUUAUAUGAAUAAGCACCGGCUGACUCCGUGCCAGCAGCCGCCGUAA
RNAcentral lists this ribosomal RNA (483 nucleotides) under uncultured bacterium. RNAcentral's name for it is "partial 16S ribosomal RNA". It matches the Rfam family "Bacterial small subunit ribosomal RNA", at positions 29 to 523 of the family's 1533-position model. The record is from RNAcentral.